CAGUAGCCACGGUAAUACGAAGGGGGCUAGCGUUGCUCGGAAUGACUGGGCGUAAAGGGCGCGUAGGCGGUUUAUACAGUCAGAUGUGAAAUUCCUGGGCUCAACCUGGGGACUGCAUUUGAUACGUAUGGACUUGAGUGGAGAAGAGGGUUGUGGAAUUUCCAGUGUAGAGGUGAAAUUCGUAGAUAUUCGGAAGAACACCAGUGGCGAAGGCGGCUCACUGGACACGUAUUGACGCAGAGGUACGAAAGCGUGGGGAGCAAACAGGAUUAGAGACCCCUGUAGUCCCUGUCUCUUAUAC
RNAcentral lists this ribosomal RNA (301 nucleotides) under uncultured bacterium. RNAcentral describes it as "partial 16S ribosomal RNA". It matches the Rfam family "Bacterial small subunit ribosomal RNA", at positions 509 to 807 of the family's 1533-position model. The record is from RNAcentral.